Adelges cooleyi (spruce gall adelgid) is the source of this 444-nucleotide long non-coding RNA. RefSeq lists it as uncharacterized. The transcript has 5 exons. Lineage: Eukaryota; Metazoa; Arthropoda; Insecta; Hemiptera; Adelgidae. The record is from RefSeq and is a predicted model, not a curated record.
GUUUCUACAUAGUCUGGAUAACUCUUUGUUAAAUAAUGUAUGUCAUGUUCACUUAAGCAUUUUCGUGUACACUUUAAGGUUCUCCGUCGUAAAACUUUACAGGGUUUUUUCAGAAUAACAAAGUUCAUUAAUAAUACAUUAUGCAUAAAAUCGCUAUCUUUUUUACAGCCAUAAUUAUCAUGGAAAUAAUUUUGGUCGCACAAGGUGUGCCCGUACCAGCAGAUGAUGAAACGCCACAAGAUAAUACGCCCGCAAAGCAAGGUUGUGCUGGAAAAUGUACAAAAGCGGUCAAAAGCGCGGGAAGUCGUGUUUGUAAUUGCCUUCGCCUUGGUUGUUGUAAAGUAGUAGUUAAUUUAUAAAUAAAUGUAAUUAAUUUUAGUGAUUCGCUUACAUAACUAGUAACAAUCGCCUAAGUUAGUUUGCUUAAUAAACGAAUAAACAGUA